AACGAACGCUGGCGGCGUGCCUAACACAUGCAAGUCGAACGGAAAGGUCGGGCUUAGUGGCGCAGGGGUGGGUACCGAGUGGGAAGUAGCACUUGGGUAAGGAAUAACUCACUGUAGGGGGUGCUCAUACAAGUUAAGGUAAUAGGACCAAGGAGUUAUCGCCUGUGGAUGGGCGUGGGUUGGAUUCGGUGGUUGGGAGGGUACUUGCCUAUCAAGGCGACGAUCCCUAGCUGGUCUGAGAGGAUGAUCAGCCACACUGGGACUGAGACACGGCCCAGACUCCUGCGGGAGGAGGCAGUGGGAAAUAAUGGACAAUGGGCGAAAGCCUGAGCCAGCAAGGCCGCGUGAGUGAUGAAUUCGUUAGGUUUGUAGAGCUCGUUUAUCCGGGAGGAUAAUUACAGUACCGGGAGAAUGAGCCCCGGCUAACUUCGUU
RNAcentral lists this ribosomal RNA (433 nucleotides) under uncultured bacterium. Its description in RNAcentral is "partial 16S ribosomal RNA". It matches the Rfam family "Bacterial small subunit ribosomal RNA", at positions 29 to 507 of the family's 1533-position model. The record is from RNAcentral.